This 355-nucleotide unclassified non-coding RNA is filed under the name soil metagenome. RNAcentral's name for it is "partial contains 5.8S ribosomal RNA, internal transcribed spacer 2, and large subunit ribosomal RNA". The stretch from base 1 to 120 matches the Rfam family "5.8S ribosomal RNA", at positions 35 to 154 of the family's 154-position model. The record is from RNAcentral.
GAUGAAGAACGUAGCGAAAUGCGAUAAGUAAUGCGAAUUGCAGAAUUCAGUGAAUCAUCGAAUCUUUGAACGCACAUUGCGCCCGCCAGUACUCUGGCGGGCAUGCCUGUCUGAGCGUCAUUUCAACCCUCGCCCCCGGCUUCUGUCGGGGGUGGUGUUGGGGAUCGGCCUCCCGGUUACGGGCGGCCGGCCCCGAAAUAGAGUGGCGACCACGCCGUAGCCUCCUCUGCGUAGUAGUGAAAGCCUCGCAGGCGGAGAGCGGUGCGGCCUGCCGUAAAACCCCCAACUCUUCUAAGGUUGACCUCAGAUCAGGUAGGAAUACCCGCUGAACUUAAGCAUAUCAAUAAGCGGAGGA